UCCGCUGAGGAUGGCUUUUUCUCGGUGUAACUAGCCGAGGGAAUAAGGAGAGGGCAAGACUGGUGUCAGCCGCCGCGGUAAUACCAGCUCUCCGAGUGGUAGGGAUGAUUAUUGGGCUUAAAGCGUCCGUAGCCGGCUUAGCAAGUUUCCUGUUAAACUCAGCGACCUAAUCGUUGAAUCGCGGGAAAUACUACUAGGCUAGGAGGCGGGAGAGGUCGACGGUACUUCCGGGGUAGGGGUGAAAUCCUAUAAUCCCGGGAGGACCACCAGUGGCGAAGGCUGUCGA
Molecule: ribosomal RNA, 286 nt
Filed under: Candidatus Bathyarchaeota archaeon
Lineage: Archaea; Thermoproteati; Candidatus Bathyarchaeota
Description: partial 16S ribosomal RNA
Rfam family: Archaeal small subunit ribosomal RNA
Source: RNAcentral